CUACGGGACGCAGCAGUGGGGAAUCUUGGACAAUGGGGGAAACCCUGAUCCAGCGAUGCCGUGUGUGUGAAGAAGGCCUGCGGGUUGUAAAGCACUUUAAGUGUGGAGGAAGUCUAUUGGGUGAAUAAUCUGAUAGAUUGACGUUACACACAGAAUAAGCACCGGCUAACUCUGUGCCAGCAGCCGCGGUAAUACAGAGGGUGCAAGCGUUAAUCGGAAUGACUGGGCGUAAAGGGCGCGUAGGCGGUUUUAUAGGUUGGAUGUGAAAUACCGGGGCUUAACCCCGGAUCGUCAUCUAAAACGAUGAAACUGGAGUCUAAUAGAGGGUAGUGGAAUUUCCGGUGUAGCGGUGAAAUGCGUAGAUAUCGGAAAGAACACCAGUGGCGAAGGCGGCUACCUGGAUUAGAACUGACGCUGAGGCGCGAAAGCGUGGGGAGCAAACAGGAUUAGAUACCCCCGUAGUC
RNAcentral lists this ribosomal RNA (464 nucleotides) under uncultured bacterium. RNAcentral describes it as "partial 16S ribosomal RNA". It matches the Rfam family "Bacterial small subunit ribosomal RNA", at positions 339 to 795 of the family's 1533-position model. The record is from RNAcentral.